Molecule: long non-coding RNA, 1350 nt
Organism: Capra hircus (goat)
Lineage: Eukaryota; Metazoa; Chordata; Mammalia; Artiodactyla; Bovidae
Exons: 4
Source: RefSeq, a predicted model, not a curated record
CCGAGCUUGGCGAAGAAAGCGCAAUGGCAUCCAGUACUGAUUAUAAUCCAUGAUCUGUUACACAUAUGCCGGUGUGCGUGACCGCGUGUGUGAAGCUCGAAAAAACGGGAUCUUCCUGACCCAGGGGUUGAACCUGCAUCUCCAGCAUUGGCAGGUGGAUGCUUUACCACUGAGCCAUCUGGGAAACCCAGCCUGCCUUUGAGUCUCUGCCGAAAUGUCAUGAUGCUGUUCUUUGCGUCUAUCUGGGACCCAAAUGCUUCUGAACAGCCACUUUCUUGUCAGGUGAUCAACAUGAUGAUACAACAGGAAGACAGCAUAAAGCAUCAGAACCUUGCGGUACUGCCUGGCUUACUGCAGCAGGAAGCUUCUAUAAAAAGUGCUCUAACGUAAAGGAGCCUACUUGUCUUCCAUCCCAGCCUACUACAGAGGAGAGGAUCUUCCAAAUCAAGGGUGCACGCAGCCCAGUCCCACAGCGUCGACGGGACAAAUGGCAAGGAACACUAGCCAGCAAGGAAUCAGUGACCCAGGAGGCAUGCAAAAGGAACAACCUCGGCUGAAAAAAGCUUGAGACUCCAAGAUUUCAAAACACUCCAUGAUGAAGUUAGGAAACAGGAAAAAAAUUUCAAGUAUUGAAGACAGAAGAAGGAGUUUUGGCAAGAACCGUAUUUACUGUCCAUUGCAAGACCACAGCACCACAGACUACGUUCUUUCAAAAAGCAUUUUGCUCCAGCUUUUAGCACUGACUUCAUAAGUGACAACUGUCAUGACAGUGUGUGAUACAAAGGAUGUGAAAACAGUAGUCUGUGUGUGUCCCUUCCCCCCCUCCCCCCCCCCGCCAAUGGUGGUCCCCAGCACCGGGUGGCCUCCAAGCCCCCCACCCCCACUCACCCAGACAAAGCCUGGGGGGAUGCUGGCUGUGUUCUCAGUGCAGGCAGGGUAGUGCUGGUUCCGCCUUUCUAGAUUAAAUGCUUCCCCAGGUCAGGAACAUGUACCCCAGUAGUUAAAUUAGAAGUACCAUGACUAAAUCCCCACCCCGGAAAUGACUGAGUCAUCAUUUCUCAAUAGCCCCUGAGAGUUUUGCCCCACCCUCUCCUCUAUCAUCUUAAGCUGCUGGGCAAUGUGGUCAUCACACAUAUUUUCACAUCCUUUAAAAAAAACAUAGUUGUUAAAAAAAAAAAAUGCCUGAAUGUCAACGGAUGCAAAGUCAGACAUUUACAAACAAAAAGGUUCAGAGCAGACUUUGGUUUCAUUCAAACCAGAAAUACUCUUAAAAAGCAUUACAGAGAGUAAGGACAGUGCAGAGAGCAGGAACAACGUGGCUAGAAUCUAGUAAAUGCAUGUGAAAUUCUA